GCCGCCCUAGCUCAGUUGGUAGAGCGUGUCCAUGGUAAGGACAAGGUCGCCGGUUCAAUCCCGGCGAGCGGCUCCC
RNAcentral lists this transfer RNA (76 nucleotides) under Candidatus Campbellbacteria bacterium CG10_big_fil_rev_8_21_14_0_10_35_52. RNAcentral's name for it is "tRNA-Thr". It matches the Rfam family "tRNA". Rfam says of the family: Transfer RNA (tRNA) molecules are approximately 80 nucleotides in length. Their secondary structure includes four short double-helical elements and three loops (D, anti-codon, and T loops). The record is from RNAcentral. Lineage: Bacteria; Candidatus Campbelliibacteriota.